This 1269-nucleotide ribosomal RNA is filed under the name metagenome. RNAcentral describes it as "SSU rRNA". It matches the Rfam family "Eukaryotic small subunit ribosomal RNA", at positions 146 to 1467 of the family's 1831-position model. The record is from RNAcentral.
ACCGUGGUAAUUCUAGAGCUAAUACAUGCUUAAACGCCCGACUUUAUGGAAGGGUGGUAUUUAUUAGACUGAAGCCAAUAUUCCUUGUGUCUAUUGCGGUGAUUCAUAAUAACUGAUCGAAUCUCUUUUUGAGAUAAAUCAUUCAAGUUUCUGCCCUAUCAGCUUUCGAUGGUAGUGUAUUGGACUACCAUGGCAGUAACGGGUAACGAAGAAUUAGGGUUCGAUUUCGGAGAGGGAGCAUGAGAAACGGCUACCAGAUCUAAGGAAGGCAGCAGGCGCGUAAAUUACCCAAUCCUGACUCAGGGAGGUAGUGACAAGAAAUAGCAAACCGGGAACCUCAUGGUUUCACGGUAUUGCAAUGAGAACAAUUUAAAACCCUUAGCGAGAAUCAGGUGGAGGACAAGUCUGGUGCCAGCACCCGCGGUAAUUCCAGCUCCACUAGCGUAUAUUAAAGUUGUUGCAGUUAAAAAGCUCGUAGUUGAACCUCUGUCUGGGGCUAGUUUUGGCUUUGGUCAGGCUAGUUCUAGGCAUCCGCCUACAAGACUUAGAGGGCAUUCAGUUGUUCACUAGGAGGAGUAGGCAUUUUACUUUGAAAAAAUUAGAGUGUUUAAGGCAGGCAAUCGCCCGCAUAUAUUAGCAUGGAAUAAUAGAAUAGGACACUUUUCCAUUUCGUUGGUUAUUGGAAUCGUGUAAUGAUUAAUAGGGACAGUUGUGGGCAUUUGUAUUUAAUUGUCAGAGGUGAAAUUCUUGGAUUUAUUAAAGACAAACUAACGCGAAAGCAUUUGCCAAGGAUGUUUUCAUUAAUCAAGAACGAAAGUUAGGGGAUCAAAGACGAUCAGAUACCGUCCUAGUCUUAACUAUAAACUAUUCCGACUCAAUGUUUGACUGGCUUAUAUAACCAGUUGAGCGUUGUAUGAGAAAUCAAAGUCUUUAGGUUCUGGGGGGAGUAUGGUUGCAAAGCUGAAACUUAAAGGAAUUGACGGAAGAGCACAACCAGGAGUGGAUUCUGUGGCUUAAUUUGACUCAACACGGGGAAACUUACCAGGUUAAAACAAUAGUGGGAUUGACAGUUUGAGAGCGCUUUCUUGAUUGGUUGGGUGGUGGUGCAUGGCCGUUCUUAGUUGGUGGAGUGAUUUGUCUGCUUAAUUGCGUUAACGAACGAGACCUUAACCUGCUUACUAGACUGGCGAUCAUCAAUCGUUAGCUCUUCUUAGAGGGACUUUGGUUGUUUUAACUCCAAGGAAGUUUGAGGCAAUAACAGGUCUGUGA